This 225-nucleotide ribosomal RNA is filed under the name uncultured bacterium. Its description in RNAcentral is "partial 16S ribosomal RNA". It matches the Rfam family "Bacterial small subunit ribosomal RNA", at positions 939 to 1167 of the family's 1533-position model. The record is from RNAcentral.
AUGUGGCUUAUUCGACGCAACGCGAAGAACCUUACCAAGGCUUGACAUGCAGGGAAAUCCUCCAGAGAUGGGGGGUCCGCAAGGGUCCUGCACAGGUGGUGCAUGGUUGUCGUCAGCUCGUGUCGUGAGAUGUUGGGUUAAGUCCCGCAACGAGCGCAACCCUCGUUCUAUGUUGCCAGCGCGUGAUGGCGGGGACUCAUAGGAGACUGCCGGGGUCAACUCGGA